RNAcentral lists this long non-coding RNA (816 nucleotides) under Malus domestica (apple). RNAcentral describes it as "long non-coding RNA (MDOM_LNC004704)". Lineage: Eukaryota; Viridiplantae; Streptophyta; Magnoliopsida; Rosales; Rosaceae. The record is from RNAcentral.
CUUGUGCCGCUGAGGCCACAGAUUGAGGCGCUGGGGCACAGUGUUAGGCGAGUCGUAUGGCUAAUGUUGUAGAGAUCGAAAUUUCGGUGAAAACAAAUGUUCACCAACGUAUUAAAGUUUUGACGUGUCAGGGCAUACAUGGCAUAUGCCACGUGUUGUAUGAAUUGUACACAUGGCGUGUGACUCAACAAAAUAAGAAGAAAUACACUUGAAGGAUUAAACAAGUUUCUCUUCUCAUUUUGGGCAAUGACAAGGUAAGCACACUUCAAUCCAUUGAGGAUCAAAACAAGUUUUUCUUCUCAUUUUGGGCAAUGACAAGACAAGCACACUUCAAUCCAUUACAGAUCAAAGCAAGUUUUUCUCAUUUGGGCAAUGACAAAGCAUGCACAUUUCAAGUUUAAAAUGGUAUUAAAUGAGAAAUUAGGCCAUAAGUUAGACCACUUCAAGUUUAAAAUGGUAUUAAGUGGGAAAUUAGGCCAUAAGUUAUAUCACUUCAAUUCAAUAUUGCAUUAAGUGGGAAAAUUUGGCAAUGGUGCUUGGAAAAGAAAAAAAUAUUUUGUGAUGGUGAUUCAUUCUCAAAGCCUAUAAAUAGGGUUCUCCAUCAAGGUAUCAAUGAUCCUAAAAUUCACAAAUACAUUUCUCUACUCCCAAAAUGGAAGAGAAUACUCCCCACACAUCCAAAAUCCUUGAAGCUUUGAAACUCUAAAGCUUUUAAGAAAAUCCCGAAGGAUCAAGAAAACCCUCUUCGUUCUUCGUCAAAUCCUUCUUCAAGAUCAAGCCUCGACAGCCCUUGAAGAAAGUGUUCAUCAUUCAUCA